CCUGGAGGACUAAGAAGGCUGAGUCUGAUGAAGCAAGACUGCUGAUACAAUCCUCCAAGACAAAGGGGUGGAGAGAGCAGCCCUUAUUGAAGAGCAGCGCAGGGCUGACUGUACUACCCGACAUUC
Small nucleolar RNA from Echinops telfairi (small Madagascar hedgehog), 126 nucleotides. NCBI's taxonomy places the organism in Eukaryota, Metazoa, Chordata, Mammalia, Afrosoricida, Tenrecidae. The record is from Ensembl.